GACGAACGCUGGCGGCGUGCUUAACACAUGCAAGUCGAACGGAAAGGCCCUGCUUUUGUGGGGUGCUCGAGUGGCGAACGGGUGAGUAACACGUUAGUAACCUGCCCUUGACUUUGGGAUCACUUCAGGAAACUGGGGCUCAUACCGGAUAGGAUCUCCUGCUGCAUGGUGGGGGUUGGUAAGUUUCGGCGGUUGGUGAUGGACUCGCGGCUGAUCAGCUUGUUGGUGGGGUUGUGGAUUACCAAGGAUUUGACGGGUAGCCGGCCUGCGAGGGUGACCGGCCAGAUAGGGAGGGAGAGACGGCCCAGACAGAUACGGGAGGCAGGAGUGGGGAAGAAUGAACAAAGGGCGGAAGAAGGAUGCAGCAACGCAGGGUGCGGGAGGACGGCAUUCGGGUUGGAAACCGCUUUCGCCUGUGACGAAGCGUGAGUGACGGUAAGGGGUAAAGAGACACCGGCUAACUACGU
This 467-nucleotide ribosomal RNA is filed under the name uncultured bacterium. RNAcentral describes it as "partial 16S ribosomal RNA". It matches the Rfam family "Bacterial small subunit ribosomal RNA", at positions 28 to 506 of the family's 1533-position model. The record is from RNAcentral.